AGACAAUCCAGUGAUCAAGUGCAUGAGCAUCGAUCUACGCAAUUGGGAUACGAUGACAUGUGUCAACCAAUUUAUCGAGCCUCACCACCCGAUCCCGUUAGGCGCCUCUUACGAC
Long non-coding RNA from Haliotis rubra (blacklip abalone), 115 nucleotides. RefSeq lists it as uncharacterized. The transcript is spliced from 3 exons. Lineage: Eukaryota; Metazoa; Mollusca; Gastropoda; Lepetellida; Haliotidae. The record is from RefSeq and is a predicted model, not a curated record.